CUAAGAACGAAUGAGAAAUUUAACGGUUACAAAGACGAACGCUAUUGAAAUACUUCUAAUAACUAGUUUUUGGUAUGUUUCUUGAAAAGUACUUUUUUGUGAAGAAAGAAGAUGAGGAUGAAAGAUGGUUAAACUGGAUUACGCAGAGUUGUUUAUCUACUUAACUCGCUUACGAUGCUUAAGUGAUUCAUAGUAAUAUACAUAUGAUCUAAGUUAUUAACGAAAGACUUUAUGUCUGAUAACAAUCUAUAUAGGUAUCUUGUACAUAAGGGAUGUCAAAGAUCCGGCCCGCGAUCGCAAUGUAUCACAGAAAGAAGAAUCAUGACUUCACUCGAUUUCUCUACGGAAGUUUUAAAAUGUGCACACUACAUUUAUAAGUAAUUUCAAGAGCAGCGCUUGCUUAGACAAGCGAGAGAGCUAGACAGAAACGCCAUCUUUUAGCAACAAGCGGAAAUAACUUAUUAUUUUUGUUUGAAAUUUUUUAUUUAAAUCUGGCCCAUCACAUCAUCAUCAUCGUUUCAGCCUACCACAGUCCACUGCUGAACAUAGGCCUGCACAAGUUCACGCCAAAAAUGGCGUCAAAUCUGGC
This 589-nucleotide unclassified non-coding RNA is filed under the name Melitaea cinxia (Glanville fritillary). RNAcentral's name for it is "misc RNA ENSMCXG00005001323.1". Lineage: Eukaryota; Metazoa; Arthropoda; Insecta; Lepidoptera; Nymphalidae. The record is from RNAcentral.